This 254-nucleotide ribosomal RNA is filed under the name uncultured bacterium. Its description in RNAcentral is "partial 16S ribosomal RNA". It matches the Rfam family "Archaeal small subunit ribosomal RNA", at positions 474 to 727 of the family's 1478-position model. The record is from RNAcentral.
CCCAGGAGCCACAAGUGGCAACCACCUUUAUUGGGCCUAAAGCGUCCGUAGCCGGUUCUGUAAAUUUUCUGUGAAAUCGUUAGGCUUAACUUAACGGCGUGCAGAAAAGACUGCAGUACUUGGGACCUGGAGGCGUCAGAGGUAUUCUGGGGGGAGCGGUAAAAUGCUAUAAUCCUCAGAGGACCACCUGUGGCGAAGGCGUCUGACGAGAACGGAUCCGACGGUGAGGGACGAAAGCUAGGGGAGCAAUCCGG